GGAUAACAUUUGGAACCGCAUGGUUCUAAAGUGAAAGAUGGUUUUGCUAUCACUUAUAGAUGGACCCGCGCCGUAUUAGCUAGUUGGUAAGGUAACGGCUUACCAAGGCGACGAUACGUAGCCGACCUGAGAGGGUGAUCGGCCACACUGGAACUGAGACACGGUCCAGACUCCUACGGGAGGCAGCAGUAGGGAAUCUUCCGCAAUGGGCGAAAGCCUGACGGAGCAACGCCGCGUGAGUGAUGAAGGGUUUCGGCUCGUAAAACUCUGUUAUUAGGGAAGAACAAACGUGUAAGUAACUGUGCACGUCUUGACGGUACCUAAUCAGAAAGCCACGGCUAACUACGUGCCAGCAGCCGCGGUAAUACGUAGGUGGCAAGCGUUAUCCGGAAUUAUUGGGCGUAAAGCGCGCGUAGGCGGUUUCUUAAGUCUGAUGUGAAAGCCCACGGCUCAACCGUGGAGGGUCAUUGGAAACUGGGAAACUUGAGUGCAGAAGAGGAAAGUGGAAUUCCAUGUGUAGCGGUGAAAUGCGCAGAGAUAUGGAGGAACACCAGUGGCGAAGGCGACUUUCUGGUCUGUAACUGACGCUGAUGUGCGAAAGCGUGGGGAUCAAACAGGAUUAGAUACCCUGGUAGUCCAC
This 640-nucleotide ribosomal RNA is filed under the name Staphylococcus edaphicus. Its description in RNAcentral is "bacterial SSU rRNA". It matches the Rfam family "Bacterial small subunit ribosomal RNA", at positions 171 to 798 of the family's 1533-position model. The record is from RNAcentral. Lineage: Bacteria; Bacillati; Bacillota; Bacilli; Caryophanales; Staphylococcaceae.